UGUCGAUCGUGUGCAUUCUGCUUGUAUUGGUCGUAUGUGUUUCGAUUCUACCCGUGAAAGCGCAAGAGGAAACCGCAGCCGUAUUUACCCGAGCUGCUUAUACAGAUCCUGCGUGGGCCUGGAGUGCACCCGCAUGGCGUGGAUGCAGGAAGAACGAGGUAUACAAGGAGUGCCAGAGUGGAAGUUGCGGCGAGUGGAAAUGCUGGUACCUGUUUAGAGGCUGGCCCACUGGCUGCACAUUGGACUGCCAAACCGGGUGUUUCUGUAGGGAAGGCUACUUCCGAAAUAAGAGGAACCAAUGUGUACUAGGGUGGAAAUGCUUCAGAGAAUUCAACUUUUAUCAAAAUGAACUCGCUGAAUAGAAUUCAAGACGCCAUACGAAGACCUGUCGUCCAAAGCUAUCAACUUGAGGAAACAGGAAGCAAGCGAUAUUUUCAGGCGAUGGCCGAACGGGGCAAGAGGAAAAAAAACUCCGCAAAUAAGCAAUAUUAUGUUGUGCACUGAAGAACCAUUUAUCUCAAAUAAUGCAUCUACAAUUUUUUUUUCUGAAUAAAGGUAAUUUGGAUUUGGGGCAA
Molecule: long non-coding RNA, 575 nt
Organism: Dermacentor silvarum
Lineage: Eukaryota; Metazoa; Arthropoda; Arachnida; Ixodida; Ixodidae
Exons: 2
Source: RefSeq, a predicted model, not a curated record